GGCCACUCUGUACCCAGAGAGGAAGGCUGGGCGCUCAGGAGGCAGUCUGAGCUGACGGCAGAGGGAUCUCUCAAGGCCUGAAGGGGGCUGUGGUUCAGAGACAGCCCUCCGUUCUGGGAAAGGAAAAAGGCAAUCACAGGUCCCUGGCCAGGGUGCCAGGGUGAACUCCAGCUCUCUCAGCCCGACCUGCUUGAAGGCCCCAGCGGUGUACAGAGGACAACAGUAGAGCACUUACCAGUCU
Molecule: non-coding RNA, 241 nt
Organism: Callorhinus ursinus (northern fur seal)
Lineage: Eukaryota; Metazoa; Chordata; Mammalia; Carnivora; Otariidae
Source: RefSeq, a predicted model, not a curated record